Molecule: signal recognition particle RNA, 224 nt
Filed under: bovine gut metagenome
Description: Bacterial large signal recognition particle RNA
Rfam family: Bacterial large signal recognition particle RNA
About the family: The signal recognition particle (SRP) is a universally conserved ribonucleoprotein involved in the co-translational targeting of proteins to membranes.
Source: RNAcentral
UACUAUCCGGGGAGGCAGCGGUGCCCUGUACCCGAAAUCCGCUUCAGCGGGGGUGAAUUCCGUUCCCGAGGGUUGUUUCUGUAUAGUCUGCGCCGUUUCGAGUUGCGUUGAACGAUGGGUCUUCCGCAAUCGGCGGCUGUGAACCAUGUCAGGCGGGGAACCGAGCAGCAUUAAGCGGUUUGUCCGAUGUGCCGGAAGGGCGCCUGUCCGGAGCAGCGAGGGCG